Non-coding RNA from Anas platyrhynchos (mallard), 2782 nucleotides. Lineage: Eukaryota; Metazoa; Chordata; Aves; Anseriformes; Anatidae. The record is from RefSeq and is a predicted model, not a curated record.
AGGCAGCGCCGCGCCCCCCGCCCCGCUCCUGGGAGCUGGGAGGGGGUUUAGGGGGGGUGCGCAGCGAGACCCCGUCCCCAUCCCUGCCGGGAGCCCUCCUCCCACGGAGCUUCGCCGGGAGCCAUGUGUAGGUUACCUCCUGCCAUCCCCAGCGCCGGUGCCGCGCACUCCUGCCUCCAUCGCGGUGUCACUCGGGCGGGGAGUGCUGCUUACCGAGAGCUCCUGAGCGAGGAGGCAGCGGCAGCCCCUCUCCGUGCCCCCGGGACUCGGGAAGUGCCCUCGAUCGCCCGGCGGUCCCACCAAGGGGUGCCUGCCAUGCAAGAAGCACCCCGUCCUCUGAAACGUGCGGUCAGCUUAACUCCGGACCUAAUACUUAAAAAGUUACAGGCUCGGGGAUGAAUAUUAGCAAAUUUUCAGGCGAGACCAAACAACAACAACAACAAACAAUAGUUUAAAAUGCCGCUGUAGUCCCGAAGAUUUGGCGGAGCGGGGUGUUGCAUAAGUACAAAUGGUGUGUGUAACUUUUGUUUGUAACCGUGGUAAUGACUCCACUUGUAUGUCAAAUUACAGCAGUCACUGCAGCAGCUCUGGAAAGGUAUUCCACAGUUGCUUUUUAAUUUUUCAUGCACAUAUAUAUCUAUAUGCCACCGGCACCUCCACCGAGCAUAUCAUUCUUUCUAUCUGCACACUUUGAAACGCAGAGAAACUGUAUGCAGAACUUGCAUUGAUUCUCCCAUUGAAAGAAAAGGAAAAGAAAGCCUCUCCCUAUGUCCCAUAUCCAUAUCCCUGUAUCCCACCUCUGCUACCCUGACUUCAAGAAGCUUAUGGAGAAAAAUAAGUAGGGUUCAUCGUUGUCAUAACUUUAAAACUUAUUCUUUGAAGACUCGAUUGGACUGAGUACCUAAUUUAAAAGAGAGAGGCAGGGAGAGAGGGAGAGCUCCUCUUGGGUUUGUAGCUCCAACAGACAAGGUGUAAAGAAGCCAUAAUCUGUGAUGGAAGAGCAAAGCUUUGUCCUCCACAGAAUUUAUCUGCCUCUCUUAUGUGGUCAUCUCAUACCCCAGGCUCUGAUGAUCAGGCCUCCCUCCUGUGCCCACACCCUGGUUGUCCUAAGCCCCUGAGCCCCUAGUGCUGGCAGCCCGUUGCUGCUGCCUGCUGAAGCUGGGGUGGUUUUCAUUAGCGCUGAGAAUGAUUCAUGCGAACCAGGAUUACUGACCUUGACCUGACACGUACAGAUACACCCUGUGGUGAUGAAUGUAAUAGAAUAAACAGUUAGAUAUGACUGCAUAUCCCCUCUUGUAGGGCUGUUCUUGCCCAAUUCUAUUGCAUUGUAACACAAAUAAUGACUCAUUUGCUUACCCUCAUAGCACAUUUAGAAACCUGCUAUUCAUCACUGCUUGAAGGCUCUCGAAUAAAUACACUCCCCAAAUGAUUGAUUUAAAUCAAAUAUAUUUCUAUCACUUGAUCCUGUUUCUGUUAUUGUUGAUAAUGACUACACAUGUGGAUGUGUGGUGUAUCAUCUCACUGCUGCUCCACAUUAGGAUGUUUUUUAUAGUGAAUAGUCUUUUGUUAAAUGUACUUUUAUAAUUACAUUUACACAGGGGAGGAGGGGGAGAGAAAAACAAAAGAAAAUAUAGCUGUAGAAGAGCCCACUCUCCAAACACAAAGAAUAUGAAACUUCUACAGCAAUUAGUUGGAAUGCAAAUUAAGAAUAGGGAAUGAAGACACAAGAGCAUUCUUAAAUAUCAUUGUAGAGUGUAAUACCUGUGAUUUAAAGGACCACCUUGCUUAUUCAUCGUAUGCAACAAAAGGUGUAAUGGAGAAUAUGAGCAGCCUCUGUUGAAAAGGAAAGAGAAGAAUACAGAGUAGCUUUUGCAUUCACAGUCCACCUGAGGAUGACAUCUCAGAUUUGUAAGCAGUCAAAUUCAGCUCAGUCCACAUUAGCAAUCCAGCUCUAAUAUGGAAGCCCCAAGGCAGCUCUGCCCCUGCUCAUCUUCCAGUCCACAACUUGCUGGCAAUGUGCUUGUAAUUUACCAUUGACAAGAAUUUCCUCUCGCUGCCUUUUGGUACUGAAGAUAUAUGUAUGUUCUUCUAACCCAGACAAACAGAAAAGCUAGAUGGAGUAGAAAAGCAAUUCACAAAAUGAUACCAAUUCCUUGCAAAACACCACUUCAUGUUCCACUGGGGAAUCUGUGCACUUCCAGGAGAUGCCUCCAGGUUAUAAUGCACUGUGAAUAUGAAUACACUCGUGAUUUUGUACAAACCAGACAAAAAGCAGAAUAACCACAGGCAACAUUUUUCUGGGCUAGCCUACGUGCCUGCAGCUGCCCUCCUCUGCUUUGUACCAGUGCUGUGAGAAAACACCUGAGACAAAGUUUGCUCCUUCACUGCAAAGAAUGCACUUGCAUUCAUGCCGUGCUUUGGGUCAGCCUGUGUGCACUCCUCUUCUUCUGUCUUGUGCUAGAGGAAUCAGAAAAGAAAUGGUACCAGCCGCAAGGAAAGAUGCAGAGCAGGGGUUAGGUUGCCUCGGGGACAUCAGUGUGCACCCCCACCACAGCUUUGUGAUCCUCAGUAUAAUCCUUCUGAAUCUUCUUGCAUGCACCGAGAGCAGUUGUGCACAUGCUAGCACCAAGUCCAGUGGACGUACAGUGCCUGCACGGUGGGCAGCCAUGAUCCUCACCAGCUCAAAAGUGUGAGAGCCAUUGGUGGCUGAGGCUGAGGACAGCUUCAAGCCCAACCUGAACCAAGUCAUAUCCUGUGCUUCCUGUGCUCAUACCUGUUUCAU